RNAcentral lists this ribosomal RNA (496 nucleotides) under uncultured bacterium. RNAcentral describes it as "partial 16S ribosomal RNA". It matches the Rfam family "Bacterial small subunit ribosomal RNA", at positions 29 to 507 of the family's 1533-position model. The record is from RNAcentral.
AUGAACGCUGGCGGCGUGCCUAAUACCUGCCAGUCGAGCGAACGGACGAGAAGCUUGCUUCUCUGAUGUUAGCGGCGGACGGGUGAGUAACACGUGGAUAACCUACCUAUAAGACUGGGAUAACUUCGGGAAACCGGAGCUAAUACCGGAUAAUAUUUUGAACCGCAUGGUUCAAAAGUGAAAGACGGUCUUGCUGUCACUUAUAGAUGGAUCCGCGCUGCAUUAGCUAGUUGGUAAGGUAACGGCUUACCAAGGCAACGAUGCAUAGCCGACCUGAGAGGGUGAUCGGCCACACUGGAACUGAGACACGGUCCAGACUCCUACGGGAGGCAGCAGUAGGGAAUCUUCCGCAUUGGGCGAAAGCCUGACGGAGCAACGCCGCGUGAGUGAUGAAGGUCUUCGGAUCGUAAAACUCUGUUAUUAGGGAAGAACAUAUGUGUAAGUAACUGUGCACAUCUUGACGGUACCUAAUCAGAAAGCCACGGCUAACUACGUG